Molecule: ribosomal RNA, 255 nt
Filed under: uncultured bacterium
Lineage: Bacteria
Description: partial 16S ribosomal RNA
Rfam family: Bacterial small subunit ribosomal RNA
Source: RNAcentral
UACGUAGGGUGCGAGCGUUAAUCGGAAUUACUGGGCGUAAAGCGUGCGCAGGCGGCUUCGCAAGUCAGGCGUGAAAUCCCCGGGCUUAACCUGGGAAUGGCGUCUGAAACUACGGAGCUGGAGUGUGGCAGAGGGAGGUAGAAUUCCACGUGUAGCGGUGAAAUGCGUAGAUAUCAGGAGGAACACCGGUGGCGAAGGCGGGUCUCUGGGCAGUAACUGACGCUGAGGAGCGAAAAGCGUGGGGGAGCGAACAGG